This 406-nucleotide ribosomal RNA is filed under the name uncultured bacterium. RNAcentral's name for it is "partial 16S ribosomal RNA". It matches the Rfam family "Bacterial small subunit ribosomal RNA", at positions 30 to 526 of the family's 1533-position model. The record is from RNAcentral.
AUUGAACGCUGGCGGCAGGCUUAACACAUGCAAGUCGAGCGAGCGGCGGACGGGUGAGUAAUGUCUGGGAAACUGCCUGAUGGAGGGGGAUAACUACUGGAAACGGUAGCUAAUACCGCAUACCAUCAGAUGUGCCCCGAUGGGAUUAGCUAGUCGGUGGGGUAAUGGAUCACCUAGGCGACGAUCCCUAGCUGGUCUGCGAGGAUGACCAGCCAAACGGGAACUGAGACACGGUCCAGACUCCGACUGGAGGCAGCAGUGGGGAAUAUUGCACAAUGGGCGAAAGCCUGAUGCAGCCAUGCCGCGUGUGGGAAGAAGGCCUGCGGGUUGUAAAGCACUUUCAUCGAGGAGGCGUUACUCGCAGAAGAAGCACCGGCUAACUCCGUGCCAGCCGCCGCGGUAAUAC